GAAAAUCCGUCGACUUUAGAAAUCGUGAGGGUUCAAGUCCCUCUAUCCCCCAACAAAAAGGG
RNAcentral lists this transfer RNA (62 nucleotides) under Alnus japonica. RNAcentral describes it as "partial tRNA-Leu". The record is from RNAcentral. Lineage: Eukaryota; Viridiplantae; Streptophyta; Magnoliopsida; Fagales; Betulaceae.